This is a long non-coding RNA of Ostrinia nubilalis (European corn borer), 984 nucleotides long. RefSeq lists it as uncharacterized. The record is from RefSeq and is a predicted model, not a curated record. NCBI's taxonomy places the organism in Eukaryota, Metazoa, Arthropoda, Insecta, Lepidoptera, Crambidae. The transcript is spliced from 2 exons.
CUCAUGGCAAACAAAAAUAUUGGAAAAGUGUGUUUUUCAUAUGGCCAUUGUCUAUGGCUUUAUGUCACCUGUCAAAGUAAAUCAAGAGAUCUGUCAGCCGCUGCAGAAAUUUUGUAAUCUCUUCAUGCCUAUUUGUUAUUUUUGUGAAAAAGUCGAAAAAGCUCAAGCAAGUCAUAUUGUUUUCAAUGAGAAUUGUAAAAUAAGGCAAAAUUCAAAGUCAAUCUAUGAUAUUAAAGCACGUCGUCGAGUUGACAGUGUAUCUCACAAAUUCGUGCAGAGGAAUGGUGAAAAUGUUAUGAUGACCAUGUAAAGAAAAUUGAAAAAGAUUUCAUCAAGCAAGUUUGAGUAAUUGAAAUGCUGAAAGAGCGAUUUAUAUUAUACAGGGUGGAAUUUUGUAAUGCCACCUGGAGGGAAAGUACCUACUCUUAAUAUUGUAGAUAUAAUUUUUUCUCAAAGAAAACAUUCCUUUAUUUUUGAAAAGAAAUAGAACUGCAUUCAAAGAUUUCCAAAAAUUUGCUUACCACACCCGGGAACCGAACCAACUUAAAUCUGUUAAAAAUUACAUCCUGUAUUUUUAUUACAUCGAUCGUUAGGGUUAAAUAUAAGGAUGAAAUCUCUCUAACAAACUUGAUAAAUCAAAUGAAAGGAAAACCAUGAAAUUUUAAAUUAUUUUGAUAAUGUUACAGAAAAUUGUAUGGUAUAGUAGUGAAUUUUCGAAAAAAAAAUCAAAAAUCUUUGCAGUUCUCUUUUUUUUUUUUUUAAAAAGGAAUGUUUCCUUUCAGUAAAAUUUUCUAUCUACAGUAUUAAGAGUACUUUCCCUCCAGGUGGCAUUACAAAAUUCCAUCCUGUAUAAAUACAUCUUUAACUUGAUCAUCUAUUGAAGAAUAAAAAAUGCAAGUGGAGUUCUUAGAAUCGUUUUCUAGUUCUGAAUGAAGUGAUAAGUUAUAAGUAUGAUACAUAAUAAAAUUAUUUACAGUAAUAAUA